AAUACAGCAUUUGUAACACUGUAAUGCUACUAAAUACUGUCAUGACACAGUAACAGUUUCAAGUUAUACAUUGUACCAGUACAGCAUUGACAACAAGAUAUUCUCAAAAUUUCAAUGAAAAGCCUUUUUGUACAAAGUGCUGGGCAUUUGCAUAAAAAUUGAACUUUGUUAUAAUCAAUUGAAAUGUAUAUAUUUCUGUUUCAUACUGUUGGAAUUGUGAAAUCCCUCCAAAUUAUCAAGAAGAAUUAUUGAGCCCGAGGUUUGCGUUAUCAACCGCAGCCAAAUGAAUUGGUCAAUAACACAAACUGAUGGCUUGAUAGCUAAUGCUUCAUAUCUUGCAAAUACCAAUAUUUGUUGUGUUUUAUUUAAAGGAUGAAAAGAUGUCUGCAUCUGUGGAUUAAGGAUUACAUG
Non-coding RNA from Paramuricea clavata, 411 nucleotides. Lineage: Eukaryota; Metazoa; Cnidaria; Anthozoa; Malacalcyonacea; Plexauridae. The record is from the annotation of a GenBank genome assembly.